CACCUAUCACAUGCCAGAACUCAGGCGAACUCAAUGAAACUGAGCAAAAGAGAGUGAAACACUUUUCUCCUGGUCUGUUUUGAAUCUUGGUAUUCAUAAUUUAAAGGAACCCAGCACAGCCUCUUUUGUGUCAGAAGACGGCUUCAUUUGAAAAUGAAGCAAAUAACGGUUUUGGGUCUCACACACACUUCACAUACACACCAAACAAAAGAAUUGAUUUCCUUAACUGAGAAGGUUCAUCCUCUACCUUUCCUUUGCAGAAGAGCGAGGAACAUAUUGGCUCUGGAAUAAGGUCCUCCAGCGUCAAGACCAUCUUGGUGGACCUGGAACUGUCUUCCCUACAUGAGAAGAGCGAGGAACAUAUUGGCUCUGGAAUAAGGUCCUCCAGCGUCAAGACCAUCUUGGGGGACCUGGAACUGUCUCCCCUAGAUGAGAAGAGCGAGGAACAUAUUGGCUCUGGAAUAAGGUCCUCCAGCGUCAAGACCAUCUUGGGGACCUGGAACUGUCUCC
Long non-coding RNA from Peromyscus leucopus (white-footed mouse), 510 nucleotides. RefSeq lists it as uncharacterized. The transcript is spliced from 3 exons. The record is from RefSeq and is a predicted model, not a curated record. NCBI's taxonomy places the organism in Eukaryota, Metazoa, Chordata, Mammalia, Rodentia, Cricetidae.